UCAUCAAUGGUUUCCAUGGUGACAAGUAGAGGGAGUGAUGGAGGGCGAUGCAGUGAGACCAGUUCCAGAGGCUGGAUCAUCUUCCAUAUUCAUCAGUUCACAUAAGCAAGACUGGAAGCGGGAGGGCGAAAGCAAGUGGUUUGAUGGUUACUGGAAAAUAUACAUCUCGACAUCUGCACAUGAAUGAAAACCUUUGAGGAUAAGCAAAGUUGGAGUCAGUCUAUCUACUUUCUCCAAGGCUGAACAGAACUGGCUUAAAUCAUCUCAGAAUUAUCAGAGGGGAAUGAAGAUGGUGCUGGAUUUACAGUCAAGGAACCAAGAGUCAGAUCUUGCUCUGCAACAAACUCAUCUAUGCAACUUC
Long non-coding RNA from Sarcophilus harrisii (Tasmanian devil), 361 nucleotides. RefSeq lists it as uncharacterized. NCBI's taxonomy places the organism in Eukaryota, Metazoa, Chordata, Mammalia, Dasyuromorphia, Dasyuridae. The record is from RefSeq and is a predicted model, not a curated record. The transcript is spliced from 3 exons.